Molecule: long non-coding RNA, 724 nt
Organism: Sceloporus undulatus (fence lizard)
Lineage: Eukaryota; Metazoa; Chordata; Lepidosauria; Squamata; Phrynosomatidae
Exons: 3
Source: RefSeq, a predicted model, not a curated record
CAACUGAACUGUAUGUUUUCCAUCUUCCUCCUCUCUCAGCUUUGUAAAGCAAUUCAAAAUCUGUAUUUCGAUUGAACUGUUCAGAAAGAAAUUCAGAGGUUAUUAACACACUAGUAGAGGCUUCCAAACCAAGGUGUCCAGGUGUCCAUGUUAAUUGUCUCCAAGAAUAUGUUUUGGACAGUUAGCCCCAAACAGUACUGCCAACUGUGAAGGAUUAUGGAGAUUAUAGUCCAAUAUAUGAAGACUGCAUCCUGUUGGAGAAGAUUGGACUACAUUUUAUAAAGAAAACUAUGGAUGUCAUCCAUUGAAAGCCUUCGAUUUCACACCUACAAUCUGCCUCCCAGCUUCUGUUGCUUCACACACUGCCAUGUUAACAGCACUUCUUCCUUGGACAAAUAUAUCCACCAACCUGGAUGUUAAAAUGUCUCAUGUCCUAGAUGCAGACAUCUGCUAGAGAGAUUUCCGUGAGAAACAAAACACUGAAAAUUAAAAUGUAAGAUCAAAGAUUACAUGAUGUCAGAGACCAAAGAACUAAAGAAGUCAAAAUAGUAAAUGCCAUUUGAAUGCAUUAAAUCCCCUAGUUCAGCUAAUUCAACUAGUUCCACACCACCAUCACCCAAAAUAAAUGAGACACAAGAUAUAUUUUCAUAUGAGCCUUAAAAUCUCUGAGCGGGGAGUUCAGGGAAAGUUUAAAGCAGAAACUGUUUGACACAUUGAAAUAAGU